Molecule: ribosomal RNA, 468 nt
Filed under: uncultured bacterium
Lineage: Bacteria
Description: partial 16S ribosomal RNA
Rfam family: Bacterial small subunit ribosomal RNA
Source: RNAcentral
GACGAACGCUGGCGGCGUGCUUAACACAUGCAAGUCGAACGGAAAGGCCCUGCUUUUGUGGGGUGCUCGAGUGGCGAACGGGUGAGUAACACGUGAGUAACCUGCCCUUGACUUUGGGAUAACUUCAGGAAACUGGGGCUAAUACCGGAUAGGAGCUCCUGCUGCAUGGUGGGGGUUGGAAAGUUUCGGCGGUUGGGGAUGGACUCGCGGCUUAUCAGCUUGUUGGUGGGGUAGUGGCUUACCAAGGCUUUGACGGGUAGCCGGCCUGAGAGGGUGACCGGCCAAAUUGGGACUGAGAUACGGCCCAGAGUCCUACGGGAGGCAGCAGUGGGGAAUAUUGCACAAUGGGCGGAAGCCUGAUGCAGCAACGCCGCGUUCGGGAUGACGGCCUUCGGGUUGGAAACCGCUUUCGCCUGUGACGGAGCGUGUGUGACGGUAAUGGGUAAAGAAGCACCGGCUAACUACGUG